UGAGGAAUAUUGGUCAAUGGGCGAGAGCCUGAACCAGCCAAGUAGCGUGCAGGAUGACGGCCCUAUGGGUUGUAAACUGCUUUUAUAUGGGAAUAAAGUGAGGGACGUGUCCCUUAUUGCAUGUACCAUACGAAUAAGGACCGGCUAAUUCCGUGCCAGCAGCCGCGGUAAUACGGAAGGUCCAGGCGUUAUCCGGAUUUAUUGGGUUUAAAGGGAGCGUAGGCUGUUUGUUAAGCGUGUUGUGAAAUGUAAGAGCUCAACUUUUAGAUUGCAGCGCGAACUGGCAGACUUGAGUGCGCACAACGUAGGCGGAAUUCAUGGUGUAGCGGUUAAAUGCUUAGAUAUCAUGACGAACUCCGAUUGCGAAGGCAGCUUACGGGAGCGCAACUGACGCUAAAGCUCGAAGGUGCGGGUAUCGAACAGG
RNAcentral lists this ribosomal RNA (424 nucleotides) under Verrucomicrobiota bacterium. RNAcentral describes it as "Verrucomicrobia bacterium partial 16S ribosomal RNA". It matches the Rfam family "Bacterial small subunit ribosomal RNA", at positions 355 to 776 of the family's 1533-position model. The record is from RNAcentral. Lineage: Bacteria; Pseudomonadati; Verrucomicrobiota.